Molecule: non-coding RNA, 28 nt
Filed under: Homo sapiens (human)
Lineage: Eukaryota; Metazoa; Chordata; Mammalia; Primates; Hominidae
Source: RNAcentral
UGGUUUACAACUGACUGACAUUUGCUGC